UAUGACAGUGAUUGACUUUAGUGGUUUGGUUACUUGAAUUCGCAUAAUAAGUUGGUUAGGAAUAUGAAAACUAACAACAUUACGAAAAUAAUCACUUUUAGCAUGAUGAAUAGUUAACUAGUCGAUUCCUAAAAUCACAUCAAAUGCAAGUAUUUUCAAAGAGAUGAGAUCGACAGGUAACGUGAGAAAAUCGAUUUGAAUCAAACAAGAUUUAUAAAUAGUGAGGGUAACGAAGGUUUCUCCCAACGGAGUUUCAACAGAUAAGUCAAAGUCUAAUUUCUCUAGAGUUAAAUUUAAACGUUGAGCGCAAGUAGGAGAAAUAA
Molecule: long non-coding RNA, 323 nt
Filed under: Panax ginseng (ginseng)
Lineage: Eukaryota; Viridiplantae; Streptophyta; Magnoliopsida; Apiales; Araliaceae
Description: long non-coding RNA (PGIN_LNC001734)
Source: RNAcentral